AUGCGUAGGGGUUCUGAGAGGAAGGUCCCCCACACUGGUACUGAGACACGGACCAGACUCCUACGGGAGGCAGCAGUGAGGAAUAUUGGUCAAUGGCCGCAGGGCUGAACCAGCCAAGUCGCGUGAGGGAUGACGGUCCUAUGGAUUGUAAACCUCUUUUGUCAGGGAGCAAAGGGCGCCACGUGUGGCGCUUUGCGAGUACCUGAAGAAAAAGCAUCGGCUAACUCCGUGCCAGCAGCCGCGGUAAUACGGAGGAUGCGAGCGUUAUCCGGAUUUAUUGGGUUUAAAGGGUGCGCAGGCGGAAUGUCAAGUCAGCGGUAAAAUUUCGGGGCUCAACCCCGUCGUGCCGUUGAAACUGGCGUUCUUGAGUGAGCGAGAAGUAUGCGGAAUGCGUGGUGUAGCGGUGAAAUGCAUAGAUAUCACGCAGAACUCCGAUUGCGAAGGCAGCAUACCGGCGCUCAACUGACGCUCAUGCACGAAAGCGUGGGUAUCGAACAGGAUUAGAUACCCUGGUAGUCCACGCAGUAAACGAUGAAUACUAACUGUCCGGGCAGAAUGAUGCCUGG
RNAcentral lists this ribosomal RNA (566 nucleotides) under uncultured bacterium. RNAcentral's name for it is "bacterial SSU rRNA". It matches the Rfam family "Bacterial small subunit ribosomal RNA", at positions 279 to 842 of the family's 1533-position model. The record is from RNAcentral.